Molecule: long non-coding RNA, 1657 nt
Filed under: Homo sapiens (human)
Lineage: Eukaryota; Metazoa; Chordata; Mammalia; Primates; Hominidae
Description: HSALNT0252721
Source: RNAcentral
CCGGAACUAUUUUCAUUAUUCCCUCAGACUAGAUCUGUCCUCAUCACCCUCCAUCAGAAUGUCGACUCUGUGAGGACAGGCAUUUUGUUCAAUUAAUAUCUCCUCAUAAAAGGCGCUCAAUAAAUAUUUAUUGUAUUCAGUCAUCAAUCACUGAAAUCCAGAACAAGGGGAAGUAAAACCUAUUGAUACCGAGAAAUGACAGCAGGUUAUCUUUUCUGGCUGAAGUCAGGAAGAGGGAGAAAGAUGCAAAGUCUGACAAGAGUUGGACCUGCCAUUGCUGGCUUUGAAGAUGAAGGAGAGGCCCUGAGCCAAAGAAUGUGGAUGGCCUUUGGAACUUAGGAAUGGGGAAAUGAGGAUCUCAGUUCUACAACCUCCAAGAACUAAAUUCUGCCAGCAACCUAAAUGAGCAAGUAAACAGAUUCUCUACAAGAGUCUCUAGGAAGGAACUCAGUGCUUUGAACAUGUACAUUUUAGCUCAAUGAGACCUAUGCUGCACUUACCAUCUCCACCCUGUCAGAUGAUACAUCUGGGUUAUUUGAAGUCACUAAGUGUGUGACAUUUGCCACAGCAGCCAACAGAAAUCUGUUGAGCCUAGUUUCUGGGAGGUGCAAGGCACUGAGUGACUCAUUGGGACCUGCUGAGUCAUUAGAGAGAGUGCCUGAGGGACAGAGGCCAGACUGCAACUUAAGCUAUCUGGAAUCUUACCUCUGCUGUCUUACUGGCUGUCUACAUGGGGCUACAUUUUAACUAUGGCUUACAGAAAUCAUUGCCUGUCAACAGCCUCCACCCCCACCUCCCCACCCCCACUCUUGGGAAUGGACUCUGACAAACUCACCAUCAGGAAAGUUGAUGUUUCCCAUCUAGGAUGGAAGAAUGGGAUUCUGAACUUUGUCACUGUUUCUGAAACGUCAUCAGCUCCUGUAAUUGCAUGGUUGGGACAGAUCUAUUUAAAUUGCUUUGAAGUUUUCCCAGGAAAUUCCCACAAAAUUGUGCAACCCAAGGAAUUGAGGUGGAAAAAAUGGCACUGGCAUCAAUUUGCUUCUCACCACGACCUUGUGAAGGAGGCAGGUAGCCACUCAUAUUUAUGAUUUAAAAAAUGAGGGAUCAACAAUUAAAGGGGUAACAGUUCUAGGUGCUUGGACUAUUAGUUUUAUCAAAAACACAGUCGGUAUAGGUUCAUUGACAGCUGGCAUUCAUCAUCUGAAAUUAGAUCCCCCUUUGAAAUUAUUCUUUCUCUCAUUUUCCUUGCUUUUACAUAGAAGUUUUUUCUUUUUUUUUUCUGUAAAUAGUUAGAUAAUGGCAUGGGAUGACACUGCAAAUAGGCAAUAUACCAUACAAUCAAUUCCAUGUAUUAAUUCCAGAACAGUUUCCUCAUUAAUGGAAAUACAGGAUGCAUUCUGGUAUCAUUAUUGUUGACAUUUCUCUUUGCUUUUAUUAUAUUCAAUAAAAUAUUGUAUUCAACAGCUUACCUCAGAGAGAAGUUUGAUGAGAUUUGAUUGUCCUUUAGUUUUAUCUUUAUCACCAAGACAGGACCCAAAACCUGUCUUCCUCCUAGUGUGGCAGGGCUGUUGCAAUGAAGCACACAGACAACAAACACAUCUUUCUAAAGCUCUCCUUCAUCUGAAAGUAAAGAUGACAACUUGAUAUGAAUAAAACC